UUCCCAGUCCCACCCAUAUGAUUUAUGGGGGUGCUCGGGUGAAGCCCUAAGCCUGUCAUCUCCUUUGCCUCGUCCUCCGACUUCCCAGAAGCCGACCUCCUCCCGCCGGCGACGACAAUAUCACCACCGGCCUCGUCCUCCUCCGCCGGUCUGUAGCCCCCGUCGCCUCCGCCGGCAUGAAACCCACCGACCGUUGUUCCUCCAGCAACAUCGCUGAUCGGCUCCGCCUCCGAUCAUCCAAGCCGACGGUCGCCUCUGAUGAGCAUCGACGAGUAUGUAAUCGGAGUCGUUCUAAGAUCACAACAAGGCAAGCAGCUAAAAUGUUAGAAAGCUCUGAAAAUUCAGGCAAAUCUUUCUAUGAUUCCCUUCCUCAAUACAGGAGGUCAAGAAGACUUAAAAAUGUUAGGCGGACCAACUCCAGCAAUGAUAAGAAGCUAGAUACCAAUGUGUUUGAGUCCUACUUAGAGGAUCUAUGGAACAGGAUAUCAGAAGAGAAGAGGAGCUCCUGUGCAUAUAUUGAUUGUUUAUGGUUUUCUUUGUACAAGGAUAAAAUGACAAAAGAAAAGGUGCUUAAGUGGAUUAAGAGGAAACAGAUCUUUGCAAGGAAAUAUGUUUUUGUCCCUAUUGUUUGUUGGAGACACUGGAGUCUUCUUAUUUUAUGUCACUUUGGAGGAAAAAAACAAUCAAAAGCGAAAAAACCAUGCAUGUUGCUGCUCGAUUCACUUCAUAGUACAGAACCAAAGAGGUUGGAGCCAGACAUAAGAAGGUUUGUGCUCGACAUUUAUAAAUCAGAGGGAAGAAAAGAGGGGGAUGAUUUUAUAUCCAAAAUUCCUCUCUUAAUUCCUAAGGUGCCACAACAGACAAAUGGUGAGGAAUGUGGCACAUUUGUACUUUAUUUCAUAUACCUCUUUCUCCAAAAUGCUCCUGAGAAUUUCAGUCAAGAGGGAUACCCUUACUUUCUAACGGAAGAAUGGUUUUGUUCGGAAGACUUGGAGAUCUUCCGUAAAGAAAUUUAUUCAUUUUGGAUGAGCCAGGGUAUUACUCAUGUUCAAUAACCAAAACAUCCUCAGUCCAAUCUUUAUUUCUGUUUUAUUGAGAAGCAUAAAUGGCAUAUUUUGUUUUUCGCACGAUUGCAAUGGGCCAAUCCAUGCAAUGGGGACUUCUGCAACACUGGAAAAGUUCUCAAAGUUAUAAAGAGCUCCUUUCAUAGUAACAUAUGAUUCCUUCCAAACAACUGUCACCAACCUCCCCAUAUGGGUAUGUAAUGAGCUCAAGUUUGUUUAUACUUUGUGCUCAUAUAAAUUUAGAGAUUUUCUCAACAAAUUUGUUGGAUAAAUUCGUGACUGAUUUUGCUGUUGAUUUGAGCCAAGAUGCAUCUUCUAUUAUAUGGUGGAACUUGAAAUGUGGCCUUAUAGUAUGUGUACAAAUAUGCUUUAACCUCCACAUGAGAAUAUGCUGCUUUGGAUUUGAGCUUGCUGUCUUAAGACAGGUUAUCAGCUGUUGUGAUAUCAAGGCAAUCAUGUAUACAUAUGAUGCUCUGCAAAGUUUGAAGUUUUGAUUUAUCCUACUUUUGACUGCAUAAUUUCUGUAUAAACCUAAAUAAACGACAGAUUGCAUCUCUAAGUGGAUUUUGAAAUCUGGAGUGGUUUUGUUGUUUGGAUUCUGGCCAUACUUGUUAAAAUCACAUGCCAUCCCAUUCAGCC
This is a non-coding RNA of Elaeis guineensis (African oil palm), 1703 nucleotides long. Lineage: Eukaryota; Viridiplantae; Streptophyta; Magnoliopsida; Arecales; Arecaceae. The record is from RefSeq and is a predicted model, not a curated record.